GACGAACGCUGGCGGCGUGCUUAACACAUGCAAGUCGAACGGAAAGGCCCUGCUUUUGUGGGGUGCUCGAGUGGCGAACGGGUGAGUAACACGUGAGUAACCUGCCCUUGACUUUGGGAUAACUUCAGGAAACUGGGGCUAAUACCGGAUAGGAGCUCCUGCUGCAUGGUGGGGGUUGGAAAGUUUCGGCGGUUGGGGAUGGACUGGCGGCUUAUCAGCUUGUUGGUGGGGUAGUGGCUUACCAAGGCUUUGACGGGUAGCCGGCCUGAGAGGGUGACCGGCCACAUUGGGACUGAGAUACGGCCCAGACUCCUACGGGAGGCAGCAGUGGGGAAUAUUGCACAAUGGGCGGAAGCCUGAUGCAGAAACGCCGCGUGCGGGAUGACGGCCUUCGGGUUGUAAACCGCUUUCGCCUGUGACGAAGCGUGAGUGACGGUAAUGGGUAAAGAAGCACCGGCUAACUACGUG
RNAcentral lists this ribosomal RNA (468 nucleotides) under uncultured bacterium. Its description in RNAcentral is "partial 16S ribosomal RNA". It matches the Rfam family "Bacterial small subunit ribosomal RNA", at positions 28 to 507 of the family's 1533-position model. The record is from RNAcentral.